RNAcentral lists this ribosomal RNA (608 nucleotides) under uncultured bacterium. Its description in RNAcentral is "bacterial SSU rRNA". It matches the Rfam family "Bacterial small subunit ribosomal RNA", at positions 888 to 1498 of the family's 1533-position model. The record is from RNAcentral.
GCAAGAUUAAAACUCAAAGGAAUAGACGGGGACCCGCACAAGCGGUGGAGCAUGUGGUUUAAUUCGACGAUACGCGAAGAACCUUACCUGGCCUUGACAUAGACAGAAGUUUGCAGAGACGCAGAUGUGCUAGUUUACUAGAACUGUCAUACAGGUGCUGCACGGCUGUCGUCAGCUCGUGUCGUGAGAUGUUGGGUUAAGUCCCGCAACGAGCGCAACCCUCGUGUUUAGUUACUAAUAGUUCGGCUGAGGACUCUAAACAGACUGCCUGGGUAACCAGGAGGAAGGUGAGGACGACGUCAAGUCAUCAUGGCCCUUACGGCCAGGGCUACACACGUGCUACAAUGGGGUAUACAAAGAGCUGCAAUACGGUGACGUGGAGCAAAUCUCAUAAAAUAUCUCCCAGUUCGGAUUGAAGUCUGCAACUCGACUUCAUGAAGUUGGAAUCGCUAGUAAUCGUAGAUCAGCAAUGCUACGGUGAAUACGUUCCCGGGUCUUGUACUCACCGCCCGUCACACCAUGGGAAUUGAAUUCAUUCGAAGCGGGGAUGCUAAAAUAGCUACCUUCCACAGUGGAUUUAGUAACUAGGGUGAAGUCGUAACAAGGUA